This 253-nucleotide ribosomal RNA is filed under the name uncultured bacterium. RNAcentral describes it as "partial 16S ribosomal RNA". It matches the Rfam family "Bacterial small subunit ribosomal RNA", at positions 524 to 776 of the family's 1533-position model. The record is from RNAcentral.
UACGUAGGGUGCAAGCGUUAAUCGGAAUUACUGGGCGUAAAGCGUGCGCAGGCGGUUAUGCAAGACAGAUGUGAAAUCCCCGGGCUUAACCUGGGAACCGCAUUUGUGACUGCAUAGCUGGAGUACGGCAGAGGGGGAUGGAAUUCCGCGUGUAGCAGUGAAAUGCGUAGAUAUCUGUAGGAAUACCGGUGGCGAAGGCGGCAUCCUGGACCGGCAUUGACGCUGAUGAGCGAAAGCUAGGGGAGCAAACGGG